Molecule: long non-coding RNA, 345 nt
Organism: Centrocercus urophasianus (Greater sage-grouse)
Lineage: Eukaryota; Metazoa; Chordata; Aves; Galliformes; Phasianidae
Exons: 3
Source: RefSeq, a predicted model, not a curated record
UGGACCUUGCUGUAUCUGACACCAUCUGUCUCUAAGGAUGCAUCCUAAAGCUCACUACCUUGUUUUCCAGCCUCAGACAUGCUUACUUCACAUCCAUACAAUGGAUGUUCAGAGCUAAGCCUGUCCAGUCACAAGGCUGCCUGGUUCCAAGAGCAUCAUACCUACUGCAGCAUGUGCUGAGCUCUACUUCACCCAUCCAAUCGGUGGUGAGAAACAGGAAAGAAACAUCAGGUUGAAGGAAGUGCCUACAGGAGGAAAGCAAAGAGAGAUGGGUGCAUCUACUCACUUUGAAAAUGAAGAGAGUUUCACUGAGUGUAUGGGAGCUGCUGAAUCACGGCCUGAACC